CCAAAACUAAAUCAUGGAGACAUGAAAGUUCCAAUGAAUCAACUUAGCAAAAUCAGCCAAACAAGCCACUGAAGAUGAAUAUAAUCACAUACUAAGGAAGGGCCUGCCAUUAAACAACAGUAGCUAUGAACAGCUUGAAAGAACAUCAGAUGAACAGAACGUUAACACUGAUGAAUCCUCAAGGAGAUGACAAUUGCAACUAGAUUCAUAGCAUAGAGUCGAUUGAUACAUAACCCAACAAAAUCCCCAACUCUCACAUCUUUGCUACUAGCAAAAUAACAUAAAACAUGUUAAUACAGGAAUGAAAGCAGGAAGCUCAUGCCAAAUGCAUACUACGUCUACAUUAGACAUGCAGGAUCAGAAACUUGGAAAUGAAAAUCUCAUGACUCGAUAAAUUUUUGACUUCUACGUUCACCUUUUAUCCACACCGAAAACAAUCAUUUAACUCAAAGAAAACAAACAGCAUAAACAUAUCUUCAAUACGAUUCAGAAUCCAUAGCAUGCUCAUUGAACACAGAACUUCAGCUAUUCUUUUAGACUUAACCAUUUUUACAAUUGUCCAUGACUUUCUUCACAACAGAAUAUAGGAGAAGAAAAGGAAUAACAACCUGGAAUUAAAUUGAAUUCAUCACAACACUGAAAUCGGCCAAAAGAGGAUAACUAGAAACUAAACAACAGUCCUCGAGCAGCAACAGACUCGAACUUGUCAAACAACUUCCAUUUUAACCCCAAAAUCGAGAAUUAUAACGAAAAGAUGAGUUCCAGAAGUCUCAAAGACAAAAAUUCUAAACAAUAAUCGACAAGAAAAAAUAAAAUCACAGCACUCUCAGUGAUUUUGUGUUGUUCCAGUAUCAUAAAUAUAAGAACGAAAUAAACUGAAAAUAAUCUCUCAAGUUCCUUUCUGAAAAAUCUCUCCAACUCUCAAAAUUUUCUUUUUUUCCACGGGAUUGGAAAUGGCCCUUUUGAAAACGAACCUCUGAUGAAUGUGGGGCUAGGAUUUAGUGAGAUCGAUCGCGUGAAAUGGUUCGAAAUCGGGCGAGUGCGAGGAGAGGGAAUCUCUGGUGUCAAAAACCAUUAGAACGGUGAGACGAGGGAUGGGGGAAUGCGUGGGUUGUGGAUUUGAGGCUCACUCGCCAUGGAUUGGACAGGAUUAGGGUUGGAUUCAGUAGGUUUGGAGAAGAAGAACAGAGGCUGCGUUUUGGGAGAUUAGGAUUUUGGGUGCCCGUUCGUUUCAUGUUUGUCAAUUGAGAACAGGUCGGGUAUGGGCUAGUUGGGGCGUGGGUUGGG
This 1287-nucleotide long non-coding RNA is filed under the name Nicotiana benthamiana. Its description in RNAcentral is "long non-coding RNA (NBEN_LNC042295)". Lineage: Eukaryota; Viridiplantae; Streptophyta; Magnoliopsida; Solanales; Solanaceae. The record is from RNAcentral.